GGCGCGCCAGUCCUCCGAUAGACUGAGUCGCCCGGGUACCCGUGUUCACCAAUAAAGCCUCUUGCUGAUUACAUCCGAAUCGUGGUCUCGCUGAUCCUUGGGAGGGUCUCCUCAGAUUGAUUGACUACCCACCGCGGGGGUCUUUCAUUUGGAGGUCCCACCGAGAUUAGGAGACCCCUGCCCAGGGACCACCGACCCCCGCCGGGAGCUCACUUACAGGCCCUCCAAGCAGUACAACGAGAGGUCUGGAAGCCACUGGCCGCUGCUUAUCAGGACCAGCUGGAUCAGCCAGUGAUACCACACCCCUUCCGCGACGGCGACGCCGUGUGGGUACGCCGGCACCAGACUAAAAACUUAGAACCCCGCUGAAAAGGACCCUACACCGUCCUGCUGACCACCCCCACCGCUCUCAAAGUAGACGGCAUCUCUGCGUGGAUACACGCCGCUCACGUAAAGGCGGCGACAACUCCUCCGGCCGGAACAGCAUGGAAGGUCCAGCGUUCUCAAAAUCCCUUAAAGAUAAGAUUAACCCGUGGGGCCCCCUGAUAGUUACAGGUCCCCAUGGUUCACGACCUUGAUAUCCACCAUUAUGGGCCCCUUGAUAAUACUUUUAUUAAUCCUACUCCUUAGACCCUGUAUUCUCAACCGCUUGGUCCAGUUUGUAAAAGACAGAAUUUCGGUGGUGCAGGCCCUGGUUCUGACCCAACAGUAUCACCAACUCAAAUCAAUAGAUCCAGAAGAAGUGGAAUCACGUGAAUAAAAGAUUUUAUUCAGUUUCCAGAAAGAGGGGGGAAUGAAAGACCCCACCAUAAGGCUUAGCAAGCUAGCUGCAGUAACGCCAUUUUGCAAGGCAUGAAAAAGUACCAGAGCUGAGUUCUCAAAAGUUACAAGGAAGUUCAGUUAAAGAUUAACAGUUAAAAAUCAAGGCUGAAUAAUACUAGGACAAGGGCCAAGAACCGAUGGUGCCCACCUGGGCCCCGGCUCAAGGCCAAGAACCGGUGGUACCCACCUGGGCCCCGGCUCAGGGCCAAGAACAGAUGGUACCCAGAUAAGGCGGAACCAGCAACAGUUUCUGAAAAAGUCCCACCUCAGUUUCAGGUUCCCCAAAUGACCAGGAAAUACCCCCAGCCUUGAUUUGAACUAACCACUCAGCUCGCUUCUCGCUUCUGUACCCGCGCUUUUUGCUCCCCAGCCCUAUAAAAAGGGUAAAAACCCCACACUCGGCGCGCCAGUCCUCCGAUAGACUGAGUCGCCCGGGUACCCGUGUUCACCAAUAAAGCCUCUUGCUGAUUACAUCCGAA
Mus musculus (house mouse) is the source of this 1301-nucleotide long non-coding RNA. RefSeq annotates it as predicted gene 43305. NCBI's taxonomy places the organism in Eukaryota, Metazoa, Chordata, Mammalia, Rodentia, Muridae. The record is from RefSeq and is marked validated. The transcript has 2 exons.